GUUCAGUCUUUUAUUCAGCUUUAUUCCUCUUUCUAACUCAGUGAUUCCACAUGAGCCAAAAACACAUUCAUGUUGCUUGAAAUGUUUGAUAAUGAAGCUCUUCUCGUCACCAUCCUUGGUUUUAAAUGUAAGCUCAUCUUACACACUGUGAAAGAGCCCAAAGUACACACUGACUUGGCUCUGUUCUGACGGGAUAUUUCACAGUCAGGCACCAAUGCAGACAGAAGGUAAACAUCCUACAUGUGAUGCACAACACACAGUUUUGCUAACAGAUUUUCCACGUUUUCACUUUGAACAUCAAAUUGCUAAUAUCAUCUCACAGCUGCAGUCCUCUGAGCAGUACGAGAUGAUGGCAGUGGUCAGAGACUGUACUGUGUGUGCUGUGUCAGACAUCACUUGUUUCAUCAGCAACAGCAACUGAAAGUGAGAAGUUUGGGGGAAAAAAGCACUACAAAUGUACAAAAACUGGCAUUCAUGUUUAUAAAAGACAGUUUUAAAGAAGCCUGAUCUUAAUAUAUCAUUAAAGUGAAACUUGUCCCUCUUUUAAAUAUUCAGCUAGCCACCUCCCCUUGUCGUUAACAAGGUUAAGAUGGAAAAGCUAAAUCAUUCCUUGCUGACAUAGACAAAAGCAUUUUGAGCAGUAAACCGUGUCUUUUGCCAUAAAUAUGUUGUCUGUUUUAUCUGUUUUAGCAAGCUAGGCAAAAUACUGGUUUGAAAGGAAAACCUUGUAAAGACAUAAAUAAGCAUGUGCUUGAUGGAUUCAUAAACGAUAGUGUGCUAAAAAUUGGUAACAUUCAAAAUCCCAAGUAGAUGGUGAUCACUUUGGGAAACGCAAAAAAGAAACAGCGUAAUUUCUGUAUUGCAGCAGAUGUUUGUUAGCCCUAGCAUCUAAGGUACGAUAAGAAAAACGCAUUUUCCAUUCAAAGUAACGACUUUUAAAACCCAGUAACGUGGCACAAUGAGGAAAACUUUUUUUAUGUCACAGUUACUGUUACUGACGCCUAGUCUUUGAUAUCACAUAAGCAGAAACACUGUCGACAACUAUAAAUGUUUGUUAUAUAAUAAGACUUUUGAUUAUUGACUUAAAAUCAUUUGUUGCAGACAAACAUUUUAAUUAUCAUCUUUGAUUACGACAGUUUUUUUCCUAUUUAACAUCCAAAUUUAGGUCUAUGUUCUGACCUAAACUUCCUUUUUUUAAUUAUACUUUGCAAAUUCUAACAAAAACUUUCACCACUUUUAAAAAAACUUUUCUUGUCUCUUUUUAUUUCUGCCCUUGUUGCCUCAAGAGAAUUUGCCUUUUCCCAGAACAGCACUAUAAAUAAGAACAUUAUUAAAUAAAGGUUAUAUUGAUUCACUGCACCAGCUCAUGGUACAAACCGAUUUCACAUGAAAAGUCCUGCCUGGCUCUAGUACAACUUAAGAUGGUGUUACUCCAACACAGUACAAUGUACAUGUUUUGGAGAAGUUGUUUCUUCACAUUUUGUUUGAAGAUUUUAAACUUUUUCUGAGCGCAGGCGUUUAUAACAAGCACAGAAACACACCAAAGUUGGAGGAACCAUCUGAAGAGUAAGUAAACACACGGCUACGUAUGCUAAUGUUUGUGAGACUACGAUUCUGAUCUGACUGUGAAAUACACAGUGGAUGAUAAGAUGAAAAGAGUGAA
This is a long non-coding RNA of Astatotilapia calliptera (eastern happy), 1663 nucleotides long. The record is from Ensembl. NCBI's taxonomy places the organism in Eukaryota, Metazoa, Chordata, Actinopteri, Cichliformes, Cichlidae.